Molecule: ribosomal RNA, 256 nt
Filed under: uncultured bacterium
Lineage: Bacteria
Description: partial 16S rRNA
Rfam family: Bacterial small subunit ribosomal RNA
Source: RNAcentral
GUGUCAGCAGCCGCGGUAAUACGUAGGUGGCAAGCGUUGUCCGGAAUUAUUGGGCGUAAAGCGCGCGCAGGCGGCUUCUUAAGUCUGAUGUGAAAGGCUGCGGCUCAACCGCAGACGGUCAUUGGAAACUGGGAGACUUGAGUGCAGAAGAGGAAAGUGGAAUUCCAAGUGUAGCGGUGAAAUGCGUAGAGAUUUGGAGGAACACCAGUGGCGAAGGCGACUUUCUGGUCUGCAACUGACGCUGAGGCGCGAAAGC